GACGAACGCUGGCGGCGUGCUUAACACAUGCAAGUCGAACGGUAAGGCUCCAGCUUGCUGGGGUACACGAGUGGCGAACGGGUGAGUAACACGUGGGUGACCUGCCCUGCACUUCGGGAUAAGCCUGGGAAACUGGGUCUAAUACCGGAUAGGACCGCACCGUGAGGGUGUGGUGGAAAGUUUUUUCGGUGUGGGAUGGGCCCGCGGCCUAUCAGCUUGUUGGUGGGGUAAUGGCCUACCAAGGCGGCGACGGGUAGCCGGCCUGAGAGGGUGGACGGCCACAUUGGGACUGAGACACGGCCCAGACUCCUACGGGAGGCAGCAGUGGGGAAUAUUGCACAAUGGGCGGAAGCCUGAUGCAGCGACGCCGCGUGGGGGAUGACGGCCUUCGGGUUGUAAACUCCUUUCACCAUCGACGAAGGGUUUCUGACGGUAGAUGGAGAAGAAGCACCGGCUAACUACGUGCCAGCAGCCGCGGUAAUACGUAGGGUGCGAGCGUUGUCCGGAAUUACUGGGCGUAAAGAGCUCGUAGGUGGUUUGUCGCGUCGUCUGUGAAAUUCCGGGGCUUAACUCCGGGCGUGCAGGCGAUACGGGCAUAACUUGAGUACUGUAGGGGAGACUGGAAUUCCUGGUGUAGCGGUGAAAUGCGCAGAUAUCAGGAGGAACACCGGUGGCGAAGGGGGGUCUCUGGGCAGUAACUGACGCUGAGAAGCGAAAGCAUGGGGAGCGAACAGG
Molecule: ribosomal RNA, 735 nt
Filed under: uncultured Corynebacterium sp.
Lineage: Bacteria; Bacillati; Actinomycetota; Actinomycetes; Mycobacteriales; Corynebacteriaceae
Description: bacterial SSU rRNA
Rfam family: Bacterial small subunit ribosomal RNA
Source: RNAcentral